GAUGAACGCUAGCGACAGGCUUAACACAUGCAAGUCGAGGGGCAGCGGGGGUGAUGGCUUGCCAUCGCCUGCCGGCGACCGGCGCACGGGUGAGUAACACGUAUGCAACCUGCCCGCCACAGGGGGAUAAGCGGAAGAAAUUCCGUCUAAUACCGCGUGACGCGGCGCCGGGGCAUCCCGGUGCCGCCAAAGGGAUUACCGGUGGCGGAUGGGCAUGCGGCGCAUUAGCUAGUCGGCGGGGUAACGGCCCACCGAGGCGACGAUGCGUAGGGGUUCUGAGAGGAAGGUCCCCCACACUGGUACUGAGACACGGACCAGACUCCUACGGGAGGCAGCAGUGAGGAAUAUUGGUCAAUGGGCGCGAGCCUGAACCAGCCAAGUCGCGUGAGGGAUGACGGUCCUACGGAUUGUAAACCUCUUUUGCCGGGGAGCAAGCGUGCGUUCGUGAACGCGCGUCGAGA
RNAcentral lists this ribosomal RNA (461 nucleotides) under uncultured bacterium. RNAcentral describes it as "bacterial SSU rRNA". It matches the Rfam family "Bacterial small subunit ribosomal RNA", at positions 28 to 474 of the family's 1533-position model. The record is from RNAcentral.